Molecule: ribosomal RNA, 451 nt
Filed under: uncultured bacterium
Lineage: Bacteria
Description: partial 16S ribosomal RNA
Rfam family: Bacterial small subunit ribosomal RNA
Source: RNAcentral
GUAGGGAAUAUUGCGCAAUGGGGGAAACCCUGACGCAGCAACGCCGCGUGAGUGAGGAAGGUCUUCGGAUUGUAAAACUCUUUUAUUAGGGAAAAAUGUCUAGGUGGCUAAUAUCCACUUAGAGUGAUGGUACCUAAGGAAUAAGCACCGGCUAACUUCGUGCCAGCAGCCGCGGUAAUACGAAGGGUGCAAGCGUUGUUCGGAAUCAUUGGGCGUAAAGCGCGCGCAGGCGGGUCAGUAAGUCAGGUGUGAAAUCUCGGAGCUCAACUCCGAGACGGGGACUUCAGGUAUUGGUCUAGAGUAGCGGAGGGGACAGGGGAAUUUCACGUGUAGGGGUAAAAUCCGUAGAGAUGUGAAGGAACACCGGAGGCGAAGGCGCCUGUCUGGACGAUUACUGACGCUGAGGCGCGAAAGCGUGGGGAGCAAACAGGAUUAGAUACCCGUGUAGUCC